Molecule: ribosomal RNA, 510 nt
Filed under: uncultured bacterium
Lineage: Bacteria
Description: partial 16S ribosomal RNA
Rfam family: Bacterial small subunit ribosomal RNA
Source: RNAcentral
GACGAACGCUGGCGGCGUGCUUAACACAUGCAAGUCGAACGAAGAGCGACGGAAGCUUGCUUCUAUCAAUCUUAGUGGCGAACGGGUGAGUAACGCGUAAUCAACCUGCCCUUCAGAGGGGGACAACAGUUGGAAACGACUGCUAAUACCGCAUACGAUCUAACCUCGGCAUCGAGGAUAGAUGAAAGGUGGCCUCUACAUGUAAGCUAUCACUGAAGGAGGGGAGUGCGUCUGAUUAGCUAGUUGGAGGGGUAACGGACCACCAAGGCGAUGAUCAGUAGCAGGUCUGCGAGGAUGAGCGGCCAGACUGAGACGGAGACCCGGCACAGACUCAUACGGGAGGCAGCCGUGGGGAAUCUUCCGCAAUGGACGAAAGUCUGACGGAGCAACGCCGCGUGAGUGAUGACGGCCUUCGGGUUGUAAAGCUCUGUUUAUCGGGACGAAAGGCCUUCUUGCGAAUAGUGAGAAGGAUUGACGGUACCGGAAUAGAAAGCAACGGCUAACUACGUG